Molecule: transfer RNA, 61 nt
Filed under: Urocitellus parryii (Arctic ground squirrel)
Lineage: Eukaryota; Metazoa; Chordata; Mammalia; Rodentia; Sciuridae
Also listed under: 1 other name
Description: Spermophilus parryii (Arctic ground squirrel) tRNA
Rfam family: tRNA
About the family: Transfer RNA (tRNA) molecules are approximately 80 nucleotides in length. Their secondary structure includes four short double-helical elements and three loops (D, anti-codon, and T loops).
Source: Rfam by way of RNAcentral
UGUGGCUCAGUGGUAGAACACUUGCCUAGCAUGCAUGAGACCCUGGGUUCAAUUCUUAGCA